UUUGUAAUAACUGAAAAUAUCAAUGAAGAUAUUAUUCUUGGCAUACCGUUUAUUAGUCAGUUGAAACCAAGUCUAUUACAGACUCAUGGCCACUACCCUUGCUCCAAGAGCAAGGAUAGAGAGUUCCAAAGGUGUGACUAUGUUGAUGGAAGCCAACCAAUUACAGACCAAAGGGAUAAGUACAAGGAGAGAGAGAGAAGGAGAGAGUGCAGUGCCAAAACAGCCGGAAUCUAUCUUAGACAUCGUUCUCGGGGUUUUUAAAGUUUGUUUUAUUCUUUCAAUUUUUAUUUCUUCUUUAAUAAAAGAAAUAUGAUCAGACAAACGAUUUAUUUUGAAAAUAGUU
Molecule: long non-coding RNA, 343 nt
Filed under: Nicotiana benthamiana
Lineage: Eukaryota; Viridiplantae; Streptophyta; Magnoliopsida; Solanales; Solanaceae
Description: long non-coding RNA (NBEN_LNC001959)
Source: RNAcentral